CGGUCAUCAGAUUGAGAGUAAGCAAAUCGGUGAUGCUGUAAAUGUUAUUGUGUUGUGUGCAAUUAUUAAGUCAGGAUUUAAUAUGGAUAUUAUGGUUUAAUAAUGCCAGGAGCUACUUCAUUUCAUCUCUAACAACGGACGGCCUUUUCUGUGGAGACACAUCUACUCUUUUCUGAUGCAAUGUCUUUAAUAUCAUAUUGUGAACCCUAAAUUCAAGUUACUCCAAUAAUUUUUAGGCUUAAAUCAUUUUACUUAAAAUGAUUAAUUCAAAGUUAACGGGAGGUGGUAGCCAUCGUAUUUAUAAUCAGUUGUUAAAUAUGAUACUAAUUAAAUCACGCACGUAUACCUACAGAUACCCAUCUCCUUCCCUCAUUUCAUUAUUUUAUUCUCUUCCAUUUCAAUUCUUUUUUCUCAUUUCUCUCAUUUUAUUUUCUAUUCUCUCUUCAUUUUCUUCUAUUUUUUUUCAUUUUCCAUAAAUUUCUUUUAUCUUACUUCUCUUUUAUCUUUUUCUCUUAUUCUUUCUCUCAUUUUCUUCCCUCUUCCCUUGUUUGCCUUUAUCACGAUAAAAAAAAAUCAAUUUUGUAACUGAUUAUUGUAAUUGACUGAAAUCAG
RNAcentral lists this unclassified non-coding RNA (612 nucleotides) under Hevea brasiliensis (rubber tree). The record is from RNAcentral. Lineage: Eukaryota; Viridiplantae; Streptophyta; Magnoliopsida; Malpighiales; Euphorbiaceae.